Molecule: long non-coding RNA, 320 nt
Organism: Dama dama (fallow deer)
Lineage: Eukaryota; Metazoa; Chordata; Mammalia; Artiodactyla; Cervidae
Exons: 3
Source: RefSeq, a predicted model, not a curated record
AGGAGAUUGACAUUUCCACGCGAAGUCUGUCUCUUCAGGGAGGAAAGCUGGGAGACACUAGACGGGCGAGGCAACCCCGGGGAAGACGUUCCUCCCUCCUUUACAGGUUCAGUGAAGUUCCUGGCAAAGGCCCCUUUGUGUGACUAAAUUUGGAAAGAAUAUGGAUCCGAGCCAGUCAUUCCACGUGUGCUCCCAGCUCCCAGCUGAGAAGGCCAAGGGUUCUCUUCCGGAACAAACCAACAUAAAGAGACAGCUUUGCAAUGGUGUACUGUGAAGAGUCGGAAAUCCUGGGUUGGAGGUGGGUACCACCACUUCCCCUC